This 254-nucleotide ribosomal RNA is filed under the name uncultured bacterium. RNAcentral's name for it is "partial 16S ribosomal RNA". It matches the Rfam family "Bacterial small subunit ribosomal RNA", at positions 524 to 776 of the family's 1533-position model. The record is from RNAcentral.
UACAGAGGGGGCAAGCGUUGUUCGGAAUUACUGGGCGUAAAGGGCGCGUAGGCGGCCGCCUAAGUCAGACGUGAAAUCCCUCGGCUCAACCGGGGAACUGCGUCUGAUACUGGGUGGCUUGAAUCCGGGAGAGGGAUGCGGAAUUCCAAGGUGUAGCGGUGAAAUGCGUAGAUAUCAGGAGGAACACCGGUGGCGAAGGCGGAUCUCUGGGCCAUUACUGACGCUGAGGAGCGAAAGCGUGGGUAGCAAACAGG